Long non-coding RNA from Cydia fagiglandana, 991 nucleotides. RefSeq lists it as uncharacterized. The record is from RefSeq and is a predicted model, not a curated record. The transcript is spliced from 3 exons. Lineage: Eukaryota; Metazoa; Arthropoda; Insecta; Lepidoptera; Tortricidae.
ACUUGUUGUUGUCGAGUUUGUUGAGAAUUACAAAUUUAUAAAUAAAAUGAUCAUUUAUUAUUUUAUACAGAGCUCAAAGAAAACGUCAGGCUCUACAACAACUCGAUGGAAAUAUCGAAAACCAAGAUUUAGCCUUUGAAAAUUGUCAGCCAGCCUCGAACGUGCGAUGUCACUCAAGCUCAAAGAAAACGACAGGCUCUACAACAACUUGAUGGAAAUAUCAUAAACAAAGAUUUAGCCUUUGAAAAUUGUCAGCCUUGAACGUGCGAUGUCACUCAAACUAUCUACAAAGAAGUUUCACAAACCGAGGAUUUACUUGUGCAUAUGGAACAUAAGGAAAAAAAACAACGGGUUGCUCUCCGGGAGUGCCGACAGAAGUGAAAACUCAAUGACUAGUCCAAAAUGUCUGCAGCACUGUGUAUAAUUGACCCAUUCUCCUUUCUAUUUAAAAACUUUAGUUCCGAAAUUGCUGGCCAGUGAGCUAAAAUUUGUAGCGUUAAUUGUUUAAAAUUCGAAUAAAUUGUAAAGUUACCUUGCAGACCUCGCAUCUAAAUAUAUUUGGUCAUGAUACUCAUGAUGUUUUGAGUUUUAUUCACCAGUACUAGAGUUCACUUUUAUUAGCGAUUUCAUCAAGAUGUAGCUUUAUUGAAUUAUAUUUGAGUGAUAUAAAGUUAGGAUGUAACUGUGAGAUCCUCGUAUUUCAGGCCGUACAAGAUUAGAACAUUGAGCUUUAUUGCUUAAUAUAAAAGUCCAGUUUUAAAUAAGUGACCUGAUUAUGAUACGUUAUGACUAAAGUUCUUUGGUAAAUAACAUUGUCCGUGACACAUGACGUCAGCGUUACGUUACGCGUUACGCUGUAUCGAGUUUAUCAUUUUUUCCCCACCUCAAAAAGUGCUCAGCGCCGCUAAAGAAGUUUUCACUUCAAUUAAAUGAGACACAGCCAAAUAAUGGGAUUAAUUCUAGCGAUAGUCAGGGAUCAGAUAGUCAAGAA